This 274-nucleotide ribosomal RNA is filed under the name uncultured bacterium. RNAcentral describes it as "partial 16S ribosomal RNA". It matches the Rfam family "Bacterial small subunit ribosomal RNA", at positions 523 to 796 of the family's 1533-position model. The record is from RNAcentral.
AUACGAAGGUCCCGAGCGUUAUUCGGAAUCACUGGGCGUAAAGAGUACGUAGGCGGUUUGGUAAGUCAGGUGUGAAAUCCCGAAGCUCAACUUCGGAACUGCAUCCGAUACUGCCAGACUUGAGUAAUGGAGAGGCAGGUGGAAUUCUCGGUGUAGCAGUGAAAUGCGUGGAUAUCUAGAGGAAGACCAAUGGCGGAGGCAGCCUGCUGGACAUUUACUGACGCUGAGGUACGAAGGCUAGGGGAGCGAAAGGGAUUAGAAACCCCAGUAGUCC